Molecule: ribosomal RNA, 507 nt
Filed under: Turbinella pyrum
Lineage: Eukaryota; Metazoa; Mollusca; Gastropoda; Neogastropoda; Turbinellidae
Description: partial 16S ribosomal RNA
Rfam family: Bacterial large subunit ribosomal RNA
Source: RNAcentral
UCGCCUGUUUAUCAAAAACAUGGCUCUGUGUAUAUUGAAGAUAGAGAGUCGGACCUGCCCGGUGAAUUUUUUAACGGCCGCGGUACUCUGACCGUGCAAAGGUAGCAUAAUCAUUUGCCUUAUAAUUGAAGGCUAGAAUGAAUGGUUUGACAAGAAUACAACUGUCUCUUUACAAUUACAUAAAAUUUUAUCUGCAGUUGAAGAAGCCUGCAUUUGAAUAAAAGACAAGAAGACCCUAUCGAGCUUAAAAAAAACUGGUGGAAUAACAAACUUAAUCCUAACUUAUAAAUAAAUAAAUAGUCAACUACUGGAAAUUUUGGUUGGGGCGACCGGGGAACAAAAAAAACUUCCUUUAUAAAAAUUUAGAUGCCCAAAUAUUGAUCCAGCAUUAUAUGAUUAAAGAAAUUAGUUACCGUAGGGAUAACAGCAUUAUCUUUUUUAAGAGUUCUUAUCGAAAAAAAGGUUUGUGACCUCGAUGUUGGACCAGAAUAUCCUAAAGAUGCAGCC